UAGGGAAUCUUCCGCAAUGGACGAAAGUCUGACGGAGCAACGCCGCGUGAGUGAAGAAGGAUUUCGGUUCGUAAAACUCUGUUGUUAGGGAAGAAAAAAUGUAUAGUAACUAUAUACAAAAGAGACGGUACCUAACCAGAAAGCCACGGCUAACUACGUGCCAGCAGCCGCGGUAAUACGUAGGUGGCAAGCGUUGUCCGGAAUUAUUGGGCGUAAAGCGCGCGCAGGUGGUUUAGAAAGUCUGAUGUGAAAGCCCACGGCUCAACCGUGGAGGGUCAUUGGAAACUAAUAAACUUGAGUGCAGGAGAGAAAAGUGGAAUUCCUAGUGUAGCGGUGAAAUGCGUAGAGAUUAGGAGGAACACCGGUGGCGAAAGCGGCUUUUUGGCCUGCAACUGACACUGAGGCGCGAAAGCGUGGGCAGCAAACAGG
RNAcentral lists this ribosomal RNA (429 nucleotides) under Verrucomicrobiota bacterium. RNAcentral describes it as "Verrucomicrobia bacterium partial 16S ribosomal RNA". It matches the Rfam family "Bacterial small subunit ribosomal RNA", at positions 355 to 776 of the family's 1533-position model. Lineage: Bacteria; Pseudomonadati; Verrucomicrobiota. The record is from RNAcentral.